AACCUAACUUGAAAAAAUUGAAAUCUAAACUAACUUUAAAUUUGUAACUGUCUGAAAUGUUAUGGAAACCUUUCCAUACAUGACAAUAGACAUCUGCAGAAGAG
This is a long non-coding RNA of Nanorana parkeri, 104 nucleotides long. RefSeq lists it as uncharacterized. The transcript is spliced from 3 exons. NCBI's taxonomy places the organism in Eukaryota, Metazoa, Chordata, Amphibia, Anura, Dicroglossidae. The record is from RefSeq and is a predicted model, not a curated record.